RNAcentral lists this ribosomal RNA (508 nucleotides) under uncultured bacterium. RNAcentral's name for it is "partial 16S ribosomal RNA". It matches the Rfam family "Bacterial small subunit ribosomal RNA", at positions 30 to 523 of the family's 1533-position model. The record is from RNAcentral.
AUUGAACGCUGGCGGCAUGCCUUACACAUGCAAGUCGAACGGCAGCGGGGGAGAAGCUUGCUUUUCCUGCCGGCGAGUGGCGAACGGGUGAGUAAUACAUCGGAACGUGCCCUGUAGUGGGGGAUAACUAGUCGAAAGAUUAGCUAAUACCGCAUACGACCUGAGGGUGAAAGUGGGGGACCGCAAGGCCUCAUGCUAUAGGAGCAGCCGAUGUCUGAUUAGCUAGUUGGUGGGGUAAAGGCCUACCAAGGCGACGAUCAGUAGCUGGUCUGAGAGGACGAUCAGCCACACUGGGACUGAGACACGGCCCAGACUCCUACGGGAGGCAGCAGUGGGGAAUUUUGGACAAUGGGCGAAAGCCUGAUCCAGCAAUGCCGCGUGUGUGAAGAAGGCCUUCAGGUUGUAAAGCACUUUUGUCCGGAAAGAAAUGGCUCUGGUUAAUACCUGGGGUCGAUGACGGUACCGGAAGAAUAAGGACCGGCUAACUACGUGCCAGCCGCCGCAGUAA